Molecule: ribosomal RNA, 2770 nt
Filed under: Klebsiella pneumoniae
Lineage: Bacteria; Pseudomonadati; Pseudomonadota; Gammaproteobacteria; Enterobacterales; Enterobacteriaceae
Description: bacterial LSU rRNA
Rfam family: Bacterial large subunit ribosomal RNA
Source: RNAcentral
CACUAUCGUUAACUGAAUACAUAGGUUAACGAGGCGAACCGGGGGAACUGAAACAUCUAAGUACCCCGAGGAAAAGAAAUCAACCGAGAUUCCCCCAGUAGCGGCGAGCGAACGGGGAGCAGCCCAGAGUCUGAAUCAGCUUGUGUGUUAGUGGAACGGUCUGGAAAGUCCGACGGUACAGGGUGAUAGUCCCGUACACCAAAAUGCACAGGUUGUGAACUCGAAGAGUAGGGCGGGACACGUGGUAUCCUGUCUGAAUAUGGGGGGACCAUCCUCCAAGGCUAAAUACUCCUGACUGACCGAUAGUGAACCAGUACCGUGAGGGAAAGGCGAAAAGAACCCCGGCGAGGGGAGUGAAAAAGAACCUGAAACCGUGUACGUACAAGCAGUGGGAGCACCUUCGGGUGUGACUGCGUACCUUUUGUAUAAUGGGUCAGCGACUUAUAUUCUGUAGCAAGGUUAACCGUAUAGGGGAGCCGCAGGGAAACCGAGUCUUAACUGGGCGUUAAGUUGCAGGGUAUAGACCCGAAACCCGGUGAUCUAGCCAUGGGCAGGUUGAAGGUUGGGUAACACUAACUGGAGGACCGAACCGACUAAUGUUGAAAAAUUAGCGGAUGACUUGUGGCUGGGGGUGAAAGGCCAAUCAAACCGGGAGAUAGCUGGUUCUCCCCGAAAGCUAUUUAGGUAGCGCCUCGUGAAUUCAUCUUCGGGGGUAGAGCACUGUUUCGGCUAGGGGGUCAUCCCGACUUACCAACCCGAUGCAAACUACGAAUACCGAAGAAUGUUAUCACGGGAGACACACGGCGGGUGCUAACGUCCGUCGUGAAGAGGGAAACAACCCAGACCGCCAGCUAAGGUCCCAAAGUCAUGGUUAAGUGGGAAACGAUGUGGGAAGGCACAGACAGCCAGGAUGUUGGCUUAGAAGCAGCCAUCAUUUAAAGAAAGCGUAAUAGCUCACUGGUCGAGUCGGCCUGCGCGGAAGAUGUAACGGGGCUAAACCAUGCACCGAAGCUGCGGCAGCGACACUAUGUGUUGUUGGGUAGGGGAGCGUUCUGUAAGCCUGCGAAGGUGACCUGUGAGGGUUGCUGGAGGUAUCAGAAGUGCGAAUGCUGACAUAAGUAACGAUAAAGCGGGUGAAAAGCCCGCUCGCCGGAAGACCAAGGGUUCCUGUCCAACGUUAAUCGGGGCAGGGUGAGUCGACCCCUAAGGCGAGGCCGAAAGGCGUAGUCGAUGGGAAACAGGUUAAUAUUCCUGUACUUGGUGUUACUGCGAAGGGGGGACGGAGAAGGCUAUGUUAGCCGGGCGACGGUUGUCCCGGUUUAAGCAUGUAGGCUGGUUGUCCAGGCAAAUCCGGAUAAUCAAGGCUGAGGUGUGAUGACGAGGCACUACGGUGCUGAAGUAACAAAUGCCCUGCUUCCAGGAAAAGCCUCUAAGCAUCAGGUAACAUCAAAUCGUACCCCAAACCGACACAGGUGGUCAGGUAGAGAAUACCAAGGCGCUUGAGAGAACUCGGGUGAAGGAACUAGGCAAAAUGGUGCCGUAACUUCGGGAGAAGGCACGCUGGUGUGUAGGUGAAGUCCCUGCGGAUGGAGCUGAGACCAGUCGAAGAUACCAGCUGGCUGCAACUGUUUAUUAAAAACACAGCACUGUGCAAACACGAAAGUGGACGUAUACGGUGUGACGCCUGCCCGGUGCCGGAAGGUUAAUUGAUGGGGUUAUCCGUAAGGAGAAGCUCUUGAUCGAAGCCCCGGUAAACGGCGGCCGUAACUAUAACGGUCCUAAGGUAGCGAAAUUCCUUGUCGGGUAAGUUCCGACCUGCACGAAUGGCGUAAUGAUGGCCAGGCUGUCUCCACCCGAGACUCAGUGAAAUUGAACUCGCUGUGAAGAUGCAGUGUACCCGCGGCAAGACGGAAAGACCCCGUGAACCUUUACUAUAGCUUGACACUGAACAUUGAGCCUUGAUGUGUAGGAUAGGUGGGAGGCUUUGAAGCGUGGACGCCAGUCUGCGUGGAGCCAACCUUGAAAUACCACCCUUUAAUGUUUGAUGUUCUAACGUUGGCCCCUUACCGGGGUUGCGGACAGUGUCUGGUGGGUAGUUUGACUGGGGCGGUCUCCUCCCAAAGCGUAACGGAGGAGCACGAAGGUUAGCUAAUCCUGGUCGGACAUCAGGAGGUUAGUGCAAUGGCAUAAGCUAGCUUGACUGCGAGCGUGACGGCGCGAGCAGGUGCGAAAGCAGGUCAUAGUGAUCCGGUGGUUCUGAAUGGAAGGGCCAUCGCUCAACGGAUAAAAGGUACUCCGGGGAUAACAGGCUGAUACCGCCCAAGAGUUCAUAUCGACGGCGGUGUUUGGCACCUCGAUGUCGGCUCAUCACAUCCUGGGGCUGAAGUAGGUCCCAAGGGUAUGGCUGUUCGCCAUUUAAAGUGGUACGCGAGCUGGGUUUAGAACGUCGUGAGACAGUUCGGUCCCUAUCUGCCGUGGGCGCUGGAGAAUUGAGGGGGGCUGCUCCUAGUACGAGAGGACCGGAGUGGACGCAUCACUGGUGUUCGGGUUGUCAUGCCAAUGGCACUGCCCGGUAGCUAAAUGCGGAAGAGAUAAGUGCUGAAAGCAUCUAAGCACGAAACUUGCCCCGAGAUGAGUUCUCCCUGAGACUUUAAGUCUCCUGAAGGAACGUUAAAGACGAUGACGUUGAUAGGCCGGGUGUGUAAGCGCAGCGAUGCGUUGAGCUAACCGGUACUAAUGAACCGUGAGGCUUAACCUUACAACGCCGAAG